Molecule: ribosomal RNA, 162 nt
Filed under: Parasagitta elegans
Lineage: Eukaryota; Metazoa; Chaetognatha; Sagittoidea; Aphragmophora; Sagittidae
Description: 5.8S ribosomal RNA
Rfam family: 5.8S ribosomal RNA
About the family: 5.8S ribosomal RNA (5.8S rRNA) is a component of the large subunit of the eukaryotic ribosome.
Source: RNAcentral
AAAUAACUGCAGACGGUGGAUCGCUCGGCUCCCGCGUCGAUGAAGAACGCAGCCAACUGCGUGAAUCAAUGUGAAUUGCAGUACACCUUGAUCAUCGACGCUUCGAACGCACAUGGCGGCCUGGGGUCGCUCCCUGGGCCACGCCCGGUUGAGGGUCGGUUU